This 278-nucleotide ribosomal RNA is filed under the name uncultured bacterium. RNAcentral describes it as "partial 16S ribosomal RNA". It matches the Rfam family "Bacterial small subunit ribosomal RNA", at positions 506 to 784 of the family's 1533-position model. The record is from RNAcentral.
UGCCAGCCGCCGCGGUAAUACGGAGGGUGCAAGCGUCGUUCGGAAUUAUUGGGCGUAAAGCGUGCGUAGGCGGACUAUUAAGUCUGGUGUGAAAUCCCUCGGCUCAACCGAGGACGUGCAUUGGAUACUGGUAGUCUUGAGUCUGGAGAGGAGAGCGGAAUUCCUAGUGUAGAGGUGAAAUUCGUAGAUAUUAGGAGGAACACCAGCGGCGAAAGCGGCUCUCUGGACAGUGACUGACGCUGAGGCACGAAAGCAUAGGUAGCAAACAGGAUUAGAUA